This 280-nucleotide ribosomal RNA is filed under the name unidentified marine bacterioplankton. RNAcentral's name for it is "partial 16S ribosomal RNA". It matches the Rfam family "Bacterial small subunit ribosomal RNA", at positions 73 to 339 of the family's 1533-position model. The record is from RNAcentral.
AUAGAGCUUGCUUUAUUAAGUUAGUGGCGCACGGGUGAGUAACGCGUGGGUAACCUGCCUUUCAAUCUGGGAUAACACUGUGAAAACAGUGCUAAUACCGGAUAAUAAGUUUAGUCGUAUGAUUAGAUUUUAAAAGAUGCCCUCUGUAUAUGGUAUCGUUGGGAGAGGGGCCUGCGUACUAUUAGCUAGUUGGUAAGGUAAAAGCUUACCAAGGCGAAGAUGGUUAGCCGGCUUGAGAGAGUGAUCGGCCACACUGGAACUGAGACACGGUCCAGACUCC